CUUCCACUUCGAUUCUCUGCAGUGUAUUUCUGACUCGAUUAGUGCAUCAUUUCUACCGGACUUUCACAAUAUAUCAGCUUCUACAACGGACAGAGGAACUAAGAAGUUCAUGUCAUCCUUUUUGGAUGAGAUCAAGGUGUUUGAGACACGCGAUGCCUCCAACAUUGUGCACAUCACAGCAAAAUGCUUUCGCUCGAUGAGGAAAAUGGCAGAUCCACACACCCUCUACAUCAAUAUAGCUGUGGACAAGAUCACUGAUGCCUAUAGUUCUUGCAAGGCUGGGUAAGUCAGGCAUUCAUCGUUUUGUAGGUUACUUUUGAAAUCAGUGAGUGAUUCCUGUGGUUUGUCGGCAAAUGUUUGAGUGUGCCUAAGCCUGAUACACUGUACUUGGUGCUAGAGUUGCUAGCACCAAGACCAGAGUUGUUACACGAGUAACAGUUUAGUCCAAAACCUUUUCUGCUAAAAUAAAAUCUUUAGUGUAUGUCAGAUACAGUACACAUUGCAUAUUGAUCUGUUCAGCUAACAUAAGACUGUGUAGCAGACAGGCUUCAAGGUGUAGAAGUUGUAUCAGUACUGCCAUUAUGUUGUACUUAGCUAAGGGGAAGCAUGUGUUUGUGAGAUGGCCACGCACGUGGUAAUGUGGAAUGGGCAUCAGCCAAUGAAAAGCGGCCCCUGUGGUAAGGUCCAUACUUACUACUCUACUCAAGGUGUUAAAUAUUAGUAAUACAAGUACUAUAAGUGAUAAAAAUGUAUUAGUAUUCGUCAGUCAGACGUCUCCUGUGAGACGUUUUCGUCAUCUUCACUGAAGAGAAAAGUUGCUCACAUACAUAUGUAAACAGAUAUUCUGUCUCCCACCUGUCCAGAAAAGUUCUACUUUCUGUCUUUCUUUUUGCCAUUUUUUGGUAGGGUAACACAGUGACAGCUGUAGUUUGAGGUAGCAGUGUGGUUUGGGGGAGAGGCACGGGGAUGCGGGGUGCGCCGGGGCUUUCAACCGAAAGAGUGCGCAAGAAGACGGAUCACCACCUUCCUAAUACAUCCAUGUCCGCUACCAUAAGUGCUACUGACACAGAGGAGGAUGCGUAUCUGCCUCUGUCCUGAUUGACGUGCCAAAAAACAGCAGAGCAUUAUGGGAUUUGUAGUAUAAGCGGUGAAUGCGGCGUCACAGCGUUGCCAAUGUAUAAUACCGGCAGGCUGGCUCUAAUAUUAAUUUGAAAUUGCCUCGCGGGCCAAAUAUAAUUACACUGCGGGCCAACUUUGGCCCGUGGGCCAGAGUUUGACACCUAUGGUCUAAGUGGUGCUGCUUUUGGGGUGUUUGUGUGUCUGGACGGGAGACAUGUCUGUGGACUGUUAGUUGGCCAUCUAUGGUGGAAGGAUUGUGAAAUGCCACCCAAUGCUGAAAAAUACAAUGUCCUUGCUCAUUUCGCUGUGCUUCUAGAUUUUCCUCUUUCUGAAGUCAAAUCAGAAAAAGGAAAAAAAAACAUGCGCUCACUAUGUUCCACACGGACCUAAAAGAGGGAUGGACAAUGAAAGAAAAAAAGGCGGAAAAGAAAGCCAGAGAGGACUGGAGUUUGGGGACGCUUCAUCAGAAAUCCUGGAAUUUGUGCAGAUCUGGACAAAUCUGUAAACGAGCGGAGAGGCAGCCGGUAAGACAGAUCGGACUGCAAAGUUACUGACAUCCCGACAGCGGGCCGCCAGCUUUACCGGCCAAAUUAACGCCUAUAACCGCAGCGUCUGAACUGAAGCGGUGGAUUGUGGUGGUGAAGUCUGGAACUGAUUGACUGAUUUUAAUGAUUGAAUUGAUUGUUGUUAUUGGGUGUUAAGGUUAACUAUUAAUCAAUUUAGCAUUAGCUAUUUAUAUUUAUAAAGUAAAUAUUUAUGAUUAAUAUUGAAAGGUGAAUAUUUGUAUAUUUAAAUAAAUUAAAACAUUAUGUAAUUGUAAAUAUUAAUGUGGAAUGUAUUUUAAAGUUAGAGAACUUAAGUUUAGUUACUUGUUCAUUUAACUUUAAUUACUUUGUGGGUUUGAUUCACAGUGGUUUGCUUAGUAUUGUUUAUAUAGUUUGUCAUCAUUUGCUUUGUAGUUUGAGUGGAAUUAAUUUAUGUAAAAUUACAUGCAGAUUAGUAAUUAUUUUUUUCUUUUGGGUUUGUUUAAAGGUUUUUACCUGCUUCUGGACCAUUCAUGUAAUAUCAUGACACACAUUUAAUAAAUGGAGGAUAAAAAAUGAAGAAAACUGCUUGGUCCUUUGAGUAAAAUCCCUGUUAAUAAAAGUUUACAUCGAUAUGUCCAUCCCUUCUCAAGUGGGGAAGCUGCAUGAAUUAGAAAAUAACUUGACACUCUUUAUAACCUUUUCCUUUACAGGUACUUUACCUCUUGUUUUUCCUCUUUUUCUUUGAAUUAGCAAUAUUUUUAUUAUAUUUAAUCAAUCUUAUUUUAGAAUCACAUUACAUUUGACAUGUUUUUAGCCAUGUUUUUGAAAUGGUUAAUCACUUCAAUCCUAGCAUAGUUUUAAUUUUGUGGAACAUGUUCACAUGCAACACCGAGGAUUGCAGGCCAUUACUGGAGACAUGGUGUUCCAUGUGGGGGGGCCAUGGAACUACGCGAGGGCUGGAAAGAACAGUCCGCCAGAUCUUAGCUUAGGAUCCUCAUGCACCACAUGGAGGACGCUAAUGAGAACCAGCCACGAGAGAAACAAGUUCCUGUUUAACCAACGAGAAAGAAGCAGAUGAAAUAUUCUCCAAGAAAAUUAGGUAAGUCAUUUUUGUGUUACUAUUUUCUCCAUGUGAAGGGGGGUUGGAGGGGACAAGUAAGUGGGGAACAUCCACCAGCUGAGUAAAUAAGCUACGUUUUAGACAACUGUUGUCAAAUGUAAAACUGGUGUUUAUUCUAUUUAUUUAUUAAUAAACUUGCAAACAUCCACAAGCCACAGUGUGUGGUUGGAAAUAAUUUUGAAUACUCAUUAAAUGAUAAGUUACACUCAUGUACCUAAAACUAUACAUUAAAUGAUGCAUUCUGAAUAACAAUGGUAGACUGUAUGAACUUUUGCUAUACAAAUAUUUGAUCAGAAUAAUUUUGUUCAGCUCUAAUCAUAAUGCUUCUUGCAUUAAGAAAGCAUUAUAUUGCACUUAAUAACAACCAUUCAUGUUAACUAGACAUUAGUCUGCCAGUCUACCAUUCUGAGAGUGUGCAGCAAGGGGCAUUCUGGAAUGGUACUUAAAUAAAUGCUGAAUUAAGAUCACAUUGUUUUUUGUUCAUUUGUUUUUGUUCCUUUUUCUUAAGUGACCACAGUGGAUUGAGUCAUCACCGGCUAUGAGAGUGUCCAAGAAAAGAUUCACCAAGUUUGAAUUUAUGACAAGGCUUUCACCAUGAUUAACAUUGCAACACCAUUGCAAGGACAGUUAUAAUUUCUGAGCAUUUCCGGACACCUUCAAAGAGCUGUUUCCUGGAAAUGAAGACAACAAGGAGAUCCUCCUGUUUUAAGAGCUUUAGAGCAAGACUGUAACGAAGGAGAAGGCUGACAAAAUCAAAGCAAAAAAAAAAAUGUUAGGACUGUUGAAAGAACAUUUUUUCUUAAGUUAAAGUAAAUCUGUUUAAUGUUUUAAUCAGUAUUUCAGAGAUGCAAUAUGCUGAAGAGAAGUUAAACCCUCUGUUUGAAGAAGUGCAAGUUAUCCUUUGUUUUAUUCCAAUGUACAAAGGGUUUGUUCUACAGCUAUGAUGGUAGUUAUAAAUAGUCCAGUGUUUUCCACUUUACUUGUGGCAAGACUUAAUAUUAAUGACUAUGUUAGUAUAGCACUGACACCGUAAUAACACUUAAUGACAUAUUCAUAACUGUUGCUACUUGUUUCACUUUACUUGAGGUAAGCAUUAACAUUAAUGCCACUUUAAUAACACUUAAUGACAUCUUCAUAACUGGUGCUACUUGUUCCACUUGAUGUAAGAUGAAUUAUUAAUGACUGUUAAUAAAUAAUUUGUUAAUGCAAUAAAAGUUAAUGACAACUUUAUUAUUGAUCCUACUUGUUCCACUUUAUUUUAGGUAGGGGGAAAUAUUAAUGACUGUGUUGUUAAAGCUUUUUGCAGUGUAAUAACAUUUGUCAAGUUGUUAUAACAAAGACAUUUUGAAUAAUGUCAACUUUGAAUAGUGUCAUUAUUUACCGAAUGACACUUCAUGACAACAGUCAUAAAUAUUCCUGAAGACUUAAUCAUGUUCAUUACAGGUGUUAUGUCAUGUUUAUGACAGUGUCAUCUCAGUCUUCUGCACCCUGUCAAAUAAAGUGUUACUGGAUAAGAUCAAAUCAGACCUCGCACUACAAUCUUUGCUUCACUCGAUGUCACCCUAAAUGCUAAGUGGAGCCCAGGGCCGGAUGAUGAGUGUCAGUCUGUAUCUGUUUUGUUUGUAUGAUUUGUAACAUUUGAUUAUUUUUGGCAUUAAAACCUGCUUUAUACCUAAACAAAUCUCAUUAUUUCUUAAAGUAAUGAUUCUGAGGGAUUUUGGUAAGGUUGUCUUGAGGAAAUCUCUCUUUCAGUCCCAUUUAAAAAAAGACUGAAAGGAAUGAUUUUGGACUUCACAUGACAUUCUAACCUCUUAUCCUUCUUCCUCUUACUUCUCUGAGCAAAUGGUUGAAGUUAUUUCUCUUAUUGCAGCUUAGACAAUUGCCACAGGACAGUCAUGACAGUCUAUAAAUUCAUGUUAUGCAUUUGGAGCAGUGCAGUGCAUUACUUGUUUUUUAGAAUAAUUGGAAAAUGGAAGGGCAGAUUCUGCUGUAAAAAUACAGCCAACUCUUCCCUCCUGCUGAUUUUUGUCUUUUGUUUCCACAGGUGAGAAGUGUCUAUGACAAACUGCAGGUAAGGCACUCUCAGAUGUUGUGGAGAGACCCUGAUGUUGAAUCAUUUUUGCUUUACUAUUUCUUUCCAGAUUUGACCAAAUUGACACACAUUGGCAGUUUUGCAGAAGAUACUGAAAAUCAUGCAUGGUUUGCGCCACACACAAUGUGGUAAGAAAUGUUUUAAGGGAACAGGACAGUGCUUUGUGAUGAUGCAAGUGGAGAGGUCAUGAAGUCAUACAGGCUACAAAAGCUGCACACCUGACCCCUGAAGAGACCUUUUGCAAUGACUGAAGCCUGCUGACUGGACGGUGGUGAAAAAAGCCCCAUAGCAACCAGUGGUGACUUCAGAAAGAACCUUCAAAGUACCAUAAAAUUCUUACUUUUUCUCAUUCACAGUCUUGUUAAAGUAAUUUUUUAUGGCAUGGCACCACUAUAUUUAUGAGAAUUAGUUUGGGAUUAGCAUGGAUUCAGAGAUAAUAGGAAGGCACACAGUUUGGGGCCAAAGCAAUCUGGAAUGAACAGCAUAAUUACCAUCUCAAGCUCAAGGUCCAGUUGCUUGGAAGGACCAAAUAUUGGCGGUUUCGCUGAAAGGCAAAAGGUAAAUGUUGUUACAUUAAGCAUAAUAAGUCAGAUAAUUUCUCAAAAUAUAUCUUCCCUUACUUCACAAUGUUUAGUACAAAUAUUUUAUUUCUAUUUGAGCUACCAGUCAUGCUCAUAGCUAUUAAAGCUGCUUAUAAAAAAGAUUUUUUUACAUAUUUGUUAAAACUAUCACUAUGUCCUGACAGUAUAAGAGCAUGAAAAAAACUGAGCUA
This is a long non-coding RNA of Xiphophorus couchianus (Monterrey platyfish), 5630 nucleotides long. RefSeq lists it as uncharacterized. Lineage: Eukaryota; Metazoa; Chordata; Actinopteri; Cyprinodontiformes; Poeciliidae. The record is from RefSeq and is a predicted model, not a curated record. The transcript has 3 exons.